UGUAGAAAAUCUCAGGCGAUUAAAAAAAAUUUUUUUUGUAAGGACAGAGUCUCGUUAUCGGGCUGGUCUCGAACUCCUAGCCUCAAGCAACCCUUCCGCCUUGGCCUCCCAGAGUGCUGGGAUUACAAGCGGGAACCACUACGUCCAGCUACUCAGGCCAUUUUUGCAUCAAUUACCAGCGAAAGUCUAUUCAGAAAUAGGAUUCUCUCAGGCCAGGAGUCAAGACCAGCUUUGGCGCUGUGUCAGCAGUACGAUCGAUCGGCCAGAAGCACUCCAGCCCCAACGCAGAGCCUGAGCUUAACCCGCGCUAGCGAACAGUUUGGCCCCGUUUGUAAAAGGCCGCGGCAGGCGAAGAGAGAAGAGGUGAGGGCGGUCGUCAGCGAAGGGCCCCGCAGCCCGCUGGGGGGCGCAGGGCAGACUGUCAAGAUCUCCACUUAGGGCAGUGGGAAUCUUAUUUGCGGAACACUGGGCAGAAGCUUUGCCAUUGGCUGGUGAAGAAGGAGGAGGCAGAAUGUCUGCAUUGUUACACCAUACAGUUCAAACUUCAGAAGACUUUGGAAUCAGCAGUUAUCAUUAGUCUGCAGAUGAUCAUGUUUUCACCUGAUCAUUAGAAACUAAUGAAACACCUUUUAGGUCUUAUGAAUUCAGGUUACCCUGUUUUCCAGAUGCCUUGGCAGCUGGUACAGGUAGGAUUGGGCUGGGUUUUGUGGGGAAUGAUGAAAGGGAAAAAACUCAUGUUUCAUGUUUCCUAGUUCUUGCUGAAGUUAAACAUCUGGGCAUGUAAAGAUUAGGUUAACUAACCUCUGCUAUUAUAUAGAAUAGAGUUAAACCUGGAGAAAUGCUUUGAUUAUUACAUUAGGAUUUUUAAAACUAGAUAUGAAAGGCAGUUCCCUCCACUUCUGUUUGUGGGUUUAAAUUUAUGUUGUUUUGUGGUACAGUUUAAAAAUAGUGGAUAGUGCUGGGUGCAGUGGCUCACGCCUGUAAUCCCAGCACUUUGGAAGGCUAAGGCGAGCAGAUCACCUGAGGUCAGGAGUUCGAGACCAGCCUGACCAACAUGAAGAAACCCUGUCUCUACUAAAAAUAAAAAAUUAGCAGGGCGUGGUGGCGCAUGCCUGUAAUCCCAGCUACUUGGGAGGCUGAGGCAGGAGAAUCACUUGAACCCAGGAGGUAGAGGUUACAAUGAGCUGAGAUUGCACCAUUGCACUCCUGCCUGGGCAACAAGUGCGAAACUCUGUCUCAAAAAAAAAAAUAGUGGAUAGCUUUUUUAUAUUUUGCUUUCUGUACUAAAUAUUAUAAGUGAUAUUAACUUUGUGUGUGUGAGGUUAUACUCAUGCUGUUGGGUAUAUUAUC
Molecule: long non-coding RNA, 1350 nt
Filed under: Callithrix jacchus (white-tufted-ear marmoset)
Lineage: Eukaryota; Metazoa; Chordata; Mammalia; Primates; Cebidae
Description: lncRNA (ENSCJAG00000080520.1)
Source: RNAcentral